UACUUAGUAGGCGAACGGGUACGGAGUAACGCGUAAUCAACCUGCCCUUCACAGGGGGACGAACGAGUUGGAACGAACUGCUAAUACCGCAUACGAUCUAAUCUCGGAAUCGAGGGAUAGAUGAAAGGUGGCCUCUACAUGUAAGCUAUCACUGAAGAGGGGAGUUGCGUCUGAUUAGCUAGUUGGAGGGGUAACGGCCCACCCAAGGCGAUGACCAGUAGCCGGUCUGAGAGGAUGAACGGCCACAUUGGGACUGAGACACGGCCCAGACUCCUACGGGAGGCAGCAGUGGGGAAUCUUCCGCAAUGGACGAAAGUCUGACGGAGCAACGCCGCGUGAGUGAUGACGGCCUUCGGGUUGCAAAGCUCUGUUAAUCGGGACGAAAGGCCUUCUUGCGAAUAGUGAGAAGGAUUGACGGUACCGGAAUAGAAAGCCACGGCUAACUACGUG
RNAcentral lists this ribosomal RNA (450 nucleotides) under uncultured Veillonella sp. RNAcentral describes it as "bacterial SSU rRNA". It matches the Rfam family "Bacterial small subunit ribosomal RNA", at positions 88 to 507 of the family's 1533-position model. The record is from RNAcentral. Lineage: Bacteria; Bacillati; Bacillota; Negativicutes; Veillonellales; Veillonellaceae.